GUCAAAUCUGCCCAAUGAUAAAUUUUAAUGGCUGCAGUAUAACUAACUGUACAAAGGUAGCAUAAUAAUUAGUUUUUUAAUUAAAAACUAGAAUGAAUGAUUUAAUGAGAUAUAAACUAUAUAAAAAUAAAUAAAAUUUAAAUUUAAAAUUUAAGUAAAAAUGCUUAAAUUUUAUUAAAAGACGAGAAGACCCUAUAGAAUUUUAUAUUUAAAUAAGUUUAUAAUAAUAAUAAUUUUAAAAACUUAUUUAUAUAUUUAAUUGGGGUAAUUUUAAAAUUAAAUAAACUUUUAAAAUAUAAACAUUAAUUAAUGAAUAAAAAAUC
Molecule: ribosomal RNA, 323 nt
Filed under: Ephedrus persicae
Lineage: Eukaryota; Metazoa; Arthropoda; Insecta; Hymenoptera; Braconidae
Description: partial 16S ribosomal RNA
Source: RNAcentral